GCCUGGGUGGCUCAGUCAGUUAGGCUUCUGACUUUGGCUCAGAUCAUGAUCUCAUGGUUUGUGGGUUCGAGCCCCCCAUCGGGCU
Molecule: non-coding RNA, 85 nt
Organism: Felis catus (domestic cat)
Lineage: Eukaryota; Metazoa; Chordata; Mammalia; Carnivora; Felidae
Source: Rfam